GACGAACGCUGGCGGCGUGCCUAAUACAUGCAAGUCGAGCGGACGGAUGGGAGCUUGCUCCCAGACCGUCAGCGGCGGCCGGGUGAGUAACACGUGGGCAACCUGCCUGUAAGACUGGGAUAACUCCGGGAAACCGGGGCUAAUACCGGAUAACUCUUUCCCUCGCAUGAGGGAAAGCUGAAAGAUGGCAUCUCGCUAUCACUUACAGAUGGGCCCGCGGCGCAUUAGCUAGUUGGUGAGGUAACGGCUCACCAAGGCGACGAUGCGUAGCCGACCUGAGGGGGUGAUCGGCCACACUGGGACUGAGACACGGCCCAGACUCCUACGGGAGGCAGCAGUAGGGAAUCUCCCGCAAUGGACGAAAGUCUGACGGAGCAACGCCGCGUGAGUGAUGAAGGUUUUCGGAUCGUAAAACUCUGUUGUCAGGGAAGAACAAGUACCGGAGUAACUGCCGGUAUCUUGACGGUACCUGACCAGAAAGCCACGGCUAACUACGUG
RNAcentral lists this ribosomal RNA (498 nucleotides) under uncultured bacterium. RNAcentral describes it as "partial 16S ribosomal RNA". It matches the Rfam family "Bacterial small subunit ribosomal RNA", at positions 28 to 507 of the family's 1533-position model. The record is from RNAcentral.